GUGUCUCCACGAGGAGAAUGUCAGGC
RNAcentral lists this non-coding RNA (26 nucleotides) under Rattus norvegicus (Norway rat). The record is from RNAcentral. Lineage: Eukaryota; Metazoa; Chordata; Mammalia; Rodentia; Muridae.